Molecule: ribosomal RNA, 431 nt
Filed under: uncultured bacterium
Lineage: Bacteria
Description: partial 16S ribosomal RNA
Rfam family: Bacterial small subunit ribosomal RNA
Source: RNAcentral
AACGAACGCUGGCGGCAGGCCUAACACAUGCAAGUCGAGCGCCCUUUCGGGGGAGCGGCGGACGGGUGAGUAACGCGUGGGAAUAUGCCCUUCUCUACGGAAUAGCCUCGGGAAACUGAGAGUAAUACCGUAUACGCCCUGUGGGGGAAAGAUUUAUCGGGGAAGGAUUAGCCCGCGUUGGAUUAGGUAGUUGGUAGGGUAAUGGCCUACCAAGCCGACGAUCCAUAGCUGGUUUGAGAGGAUGAUCAGCCACACUGGGACUGAGACACGGCCCAGACUCCUACGGGAAGCAGCAGUGGGGAAUCUUAGACAAUGGGGGCAACCCUGAUCUAGCCAUGCCGCGUGAGUGAUGAAGGCCUUAGGGUUGUAAAGCUCUUUCAGCUGGGAAGAUAAUGACGGUACCAGCAGAAGAAGCCCCGGCUAACUCCGUG